CCGGGUCCUCCAGGGAGCCGCUGCAGCCCAGGUCGCGGCUCCGUUCCGCCCCGGAUAUAGGAUCGCAAAUUCGAACCUCAGGCAAGGGACAUUUUAGUAACUGGCCUUGCACAUUGCGAUAUGACCGCAAGAUGCCUGGGGAAAAGGCAUAGCUAGGGCAGGACACCGUUGGGGCCAAACGGCAAAACCUGAGUGUGAGCUAUGGCUUAGGUGAUUGUGUUUUCUCCAUGGUGAAUCUCCUGCUUUUCCUUUUUUUGGAGGGCAGGGUGAGGGUGUGGUGCCGGGAACUCAACCCGGAGUUGCUCAACCACUGAACUACAUCCCCAGACCUUUUUAUUCUUAUAUUGAGGCAGGAGCUCCCUAACUUGCCCAGGCUGGCCUCCAACUUGAGGUCCUGCUGCCUCGGCCUCCCGGUCGCUGUUUGCAGGCAUAUGCGCCAACACGCCAGGCGAAUUUCCUGCUUUUGAUCAUUGCUCUGCAGUAACGUAGGAGAGUGUCCUUGGGUCCAGAAAACACACUCGUAUUUAGGGGUCAAGGAGCACGAUGUCCCCAACCUAAUCCCAGAUGGCUCAGAAAGAACCGCGCGCAGAGAGAGAAACCCCGCGAAAUGCCUGCGGCUGUGUCUGAAUGCGUGGCAUGUGGGAGUUCCUGGUAGUAUUGCAAUUUUUUCUAAAUUGGAAAUUUUAUCGGAAAAAAAAAAAAAAACAACGAAAAACUCUCAAUAGGUUAGUCGCCAAACCCCGGGAGGACGAGAAGGAAGCCCUUUCUCUUUCCCAGGCUCUCCCACUACAGUCAGGUCACCACUACUCAGCUUCCCCUGAGCACCUGGUCAUUGAUGUCCUCUACCCUUGAGGGUUAUGGCGGAGGUCCGCUGUCAGUGGAGGGACACUGAUUUCCCAUGGACUCACAGUGGGGAGAAGGCAUCAAGCUCCCUUGUAGCUUGGAAAUCAGAGACACUCAUGAGGGGCUCCUGUGGCCGCUGGAAACGCUAGAGCAGUGGACCAGGCAGAUGCGGGGGUGUGGUCACACGUUUAUUAAUACCUGCACGCAGCAAGUGCGCGUCCUCCCUGUGGCCUCCAUGUCCUUCCCCCAGGUGGGUUCAGUCUCGCCCGGCGCCUGCGGAUGCCGCGUCGGCAUCCGCAUUCUCCGACUGUGAGGUGGGAGGAGGGGGGUCCCUGAACCGACUGGAGGGAAGCUUGCGGUUGAACUUUGCUGAGGUUAGAGUGUCCUGUGAGGCCGCAGGCAAGGAGGAGUGCGUAGAGAUCCGAGACCCCUCAUGUGACCUCGCCAGCGACAAGGUCCUGGAGCUCGCUGACGACAGGGUCAGAGAUGCGACCCGGGAACUGGGACGCGACGGGACCAAGGACGAGACCCGGGAGCCCGGGCGCGACGGGGUCAAGGACGGAACCCGGGAGUCCCGGCGCGUCACUGUUAGGGAAAAGGCCCCUAACCCUGCCUUCGAAGUGGCCAGCGAAGGGACCAACGAUGAUACGCGAGAAAGCGCACAGGACAUGGACGGGGGCUGGGAGGCUACGCGUGACGAGUCCACCGAUGUGGCUGGGGAGGCUCCGCGCGACCGGCCCCUCGCGGUGACGGCGUUUGAUUCUGGGCGCGAGGUGGUUUGGGAAGAGACCGGCGGCUGCCAGAGCGGCGGGCCGUCGGGGCCCCUGCGCAGCCAGCCGUGCACGCGCGCCAGGUCCCGCGUAUCCUCGUGCUCACGACGCAGCUGCUCACGCUGCUGAAGCAGCUGGUGCCGCAUAUUGUGCAGCAGCUGGGCCCUGCCGAGAAGCCGCAACAGCUCCUGCCUCAGGCGCCCAUUGUCUGCUUUGAUGGCCUGCGUAUGUGUGAUGAGCGCGCGCGUCGCCUCCCGCUCCGCGCGCCGGCCCAGAGACUGCACACGCUGGCGAGCCUCACGCUCGCAGGCUGCCUUUUCCUCCAGAAAGCGCCGCUUCACGCGGUGGAGCAGCUGCGUGUGCUCCACGCGCAUGUGCAGCAGCUCGCGCUCCAGCGUCCGGAUCCUUGCCAGCUGCUCCAGCUGCAGCUCCUGUGGCAGGGGCGCAGGUCAGCGCAGGAGCUCGACGCGCGCCCACCCAGACCAGCAGCCCCCGCCCCCACCGCCGGUCCGCUACCGCACGCGUACUGGCCUUGUAAGGCUGCAGCUCCUGCACCUGCUGCGCCAUCUGCGCUGCACGCGCCUGCAUCUCCAGCAGCUGCGCACGCACCCCAUCCUCGCGCCCCUGGUACAGCGACGCUAGUUCUGACCGCUCCCAAUGGAUCUGCCCCAGAUCCACGCGGUUCUGCUCGUCUAGCCGCAGGACGGCGUUGGCACAGCGCUGCGCGCGUGUGUUUACAAAACUGGCGUAAAACCGAUUCUCUUCGCGCAAGCGCCCUGCCUCGUGGUCCAGGAAGAUGUUUUCCUGGAGCACCUGGUCCACGCGCCCCUCGCAGGCGUCCAGCUGCUCCGAGAGCAACGUGUACUCGCGCUGUAGGUACUGCGCGCGUUCCGACCCCUGCGGCUCUGCACCUUCACCCAGCCGGCGCCCUAAGCUCGUCACGCGCUUCUUCUUGGGCGCCAUGGGUUAGGACCUGGGGCACAGGGGCUCAGGAGGGCAGUGCUCGCUUCCACAGUUCAGUUUCUUCCUUUCCCCAACCCGGAAAAAUCUAGGCCUCAGGUCCAUGGAUAGAAUGCCUCCUAAGGUCACGAAGUCUGGGGAGGCAGAAUCGGAGUCGGAGCAGCAGUGCCAACCUGUACUCGUGGGUUCCCUCUGGUCCUUGGUUGUUCGUGUCGGGUGUGUCCAACAUUGGUACCGUUGAUAUUCAGCCAGCAAUCUCUAUGGAGACAGAAUUUAGCCGCCCUCCCCCAUCCCGCCUCGUUGCUAGGGCAACACCUGGACUCUGCCGUUCCCGGGCUCUCUCCUGUGUAGAGGCGACAGCUGCGCCCAGCCGUGGAGGAGAGGUAGAGGUAGAUAGAGACAGGCAGGGUUCAGUUCAGGCCCUGGGACUUUUUUUUCCCCCAAAACCAACUGACCUGAGCAGCAGCCCCCACCCUCCACUGCCAGGCAUUCACUGCCCUUCAACUCUGCAUACCGCGGGCUCUGAUUCCGGGUUCCCUCCCUCCAGCCUCAGCAGGCUCUUCCUCGGCUAGGCCUCUCUGCUGUCCAGAAAGGGCUCUGCACACCGCUUCUCCUUUCAGGGAACCCUUGUCUCUGAGGCCACCAGGGGCGGGGCUACUGGGAGGUGUGAAGUCCCUGCAGAUGCUGUCCCCUGUAGCCAGUGGGCCAUCUGCUUCUCUCUUGGAUUCCUAAAGCCACCGGCAGGGCACCUGCCCAAUUCAUCCACUUCCCUUCCUGGAGGGGAUAAGGGAUACACGGGGGUCAGGUAUCCACUGACUCUGGAAAGACCUCGUAACUAGAACACGAGAGGGGCCUUCUGUGCCUGGAGGAGCCCUGGGCAGUUGCAAGGACCCAGCUUCCCAUCCAGUUAGAAGCCUGGCAGGAGCGUGCUGGACAGCCUUUGGCAAGUCCUAUGUCCACACUUGUGUCCUGUCAUCAUACAGUGGAAUGUCUGCCCAGGUUUGUCCACAUUGUCUGGGGAUGGGCGGAUUUGAAGAUCCUCAAAAUUCAGCUUUACGAGCAUCAGGGUCUAGUGAAGUCACACUUGAGUGAAUGUUUGUGUUGAUGGCUCAAGUUGGUUUUAAAAGCUUGAUAAUUCACGUCACUGGGCUUGCUCAAGUUAGCCACGUCGCUGGAAAGAUGUGGCAGGGAACCACUCUGAAUGACCACGCCUUCCAGUCCUGAAGCACAGGGCUCUGACCAACCACUACAUUUUAUGACUUGGGCGUUGUCCCAGGUCCAUAGCAAGGCGAGGCUCCAGGAGUAGGACACCCACCCCCGGGGGUGAGCCACACUCACCUGUUCCUUUGUAAUCCUACCCUUUGCCCUUUUGGGGAUAGAAUGUUCCAUGGAACCUCCUCUUGUGUGUUCCCCAUAUAAGAAUAAAGAAUUCCUGUGGCUCUCUCUCUUUCCAAGGAGCCUGAAGUUCGCAGAGCCGUCUACAGAAUAUUGAAAGAAGUAUUUCUGUGUGGUUUCAUGCUUUCUUUGUCGUUUUCUUGAGUUAUUGGAAUAGUCAGAUUUGUGAACCCAGCAUUGGG
Molecule: long non-coding RNA, 4150 nt
Filed under: Marmota monax (woodchuck)
Lineage: Eukaryota; Metazoa; Chordata; Mammalia; Rodentia; Sciuridae
Source: RNAcentral